RNAcentral lists this non-coding RNA (177 nucleotides) under marine eukaryotic metagenome. RNAcentral describes it as "6S / SsrS RNA". It matches the Rfam family "6S / SsrS RNA". From Rfam's summary of the family: E. coli 6S RNA was the first non coding RNA to be sequenced, but its function was unknown until recently. It consists of 184 nucleotides that fold into an extended hairpin structure with a large single-stranded internal bulge. The 6S RNA specifically associates with RNA polymerase holoenzyme containing the sigma70 specificity factor. The record is from RNAcentral.
ACCUGCCGUGCUCGGAAAACCUCUUCAUCCUUUUGAACCUAAAACAUCAUCAGGGGGCAGGCGCGAAAACCAGUGUGCAGGGCCACAGUAUUAUUAGUGGAAAGCCUUAAGGUUACGAAGAAGCUCCCACUUGAACCGUUCGGUUCAAGGUACCGAGGCAUAACGGCAUGGCGGGUG